This is a long non-coding RNA of Neogale vison (American mink), 335 nucleotides long. RefSeq lists it as uncharacterized. NCBI's taxonomy places the organism in Eukaryota, Metazoa, Chordata, Mammalia, Carnivora, Mustelidae. The transcript has 3 exons. The record is from RefSeq and is a predicted model, not a curated record.
CAGAUGGAGAAAGAAAACGGGGCCUAGACCCAUAAUGAUACGUUAAAAGAAAAAUCUUGCCAUUUGCAACCACACAGCUGAACCUCGAGGGCCUUCAGCUAAAGGAAAUCGGUCAAAGACAAACACCCAUACGUGGCAUCUAAAAACCCCUGCGCAGGCACAGAGAACAGCCCCCGGAAGGGUCCCGCGACCGAAGCUCCACCUCCCUGGAUCCGCUCCAGGGCUCCAUCCCGGCGGAGGCAUUUCCGGGUUCAACCUCCCUAGGCCCGCCCACAGCAUCAGCCGUGCCCAAUCCGGAUCCAAGGGCGACCAGCGUGAUAGGGCAUCUGAUAAAC